GACCCCAGGUCAGGUGGGAUCACCCGCUGAGUUUAAGCAUAUCAAUA
This 47-nucleotide ribosomal RNA is filed under the name Aristolochia grandiflora (pelican-flower). RNAcentral's name for it is "partial 28S ribosomal RNA". The record is from RNAcentral. RNAcentral also lists the same sequence under 2 other names. Lineage: Eukaryota; Viridiplantae; Streptophyta; Magnoliopsida; Piperales; Aristolochiaceae.